Xiphophorus couchianus (Monterrey platyfish) is the source of this 791-nucleotide long non-coding RNA. RefSeq lists it as uncharacterized. Lineage: Eukaryota; Metazoa; Chordata; Actinopteri; Cyprinodontiformes; Poeciliidae. The record is from RefSeq and is a predicted model, not a curated record. The transcript has 3 exons.
ACCGUUCUGCCAGCUUCAGCUUUCAAAGCACAACAGGCACCUGGAGGUUUCCGUCACAUCAGCCGUUCUCUUCCCAGACAAACUCGCUACAAGAACUCGGCGACAUGAGAAGGAUAUUGUGCUGGGGCCUGUGGUGGAUAAUCUUCCAACCCAUGCUUUCACUGAGAGGAGAAAAAAUGAAACAUAAUAACCAUAUACCACCAACAGUGAUCCAGACAGAGAAGUAUUCUAGAGGAGGACAUAAUGCUUCUGCUACAACCCACCCCAAGGGCACCAAGGGUAAAUUCUGGCACUGGGUGUAACACACAAAAAAGUAUCCUAAACAGUUGGUGUCAGUAGCAAAAUAUAGUUUAAUUUACAAUUCAAGUAAAAACUCAGUCACAGUAGACAAAAAGCACAGGGAAGCUUUUAAGCUUCAGGGUCUCCAAGGCCAAAACAAACAAGCAAACAAAACAUCCCCCUUUUAAUUAUAAAAUAAAAACACUUUCUAGAAGAGAACUGAAAAGGAAGUACAAUACCUGAACUCCCUGACUAACCAAUAAAUAGUUAAACAAAAUGGCAGAGAACCCCUACCAGCUUCCACUGUGAAUAGAAACAAAACUUUAUGUGACCAGCAGGGGGUGGUCUUUUUAAACAAGAUGCACCAGAACACGGAAUAGUCCACAAUAUUUUAUUUAAACAAUUUCAUUAAAACAUUUCUCUUUUUUAAAAAAAAAACAUGGCUUCAGGCCUACUACUGGGUCCCUGGAAAAGAAAGGGAUCAUAUGAAAUAAGGACACUUUAAAUUAUUC